ACGGGUGAGUAACGCGUGGGAAUCUACCGUACCCUACGGAAUAGCUCCGGGAAACUGGAAGUAAUACCGUAUACGCCCUUCGGGGGAAAGAUUUAUCGGGGUAUGAUGAGCCCGCGUUGGAUUAGCUAGUUGGUGGGGUAAAGGCCUACCAAGGCGACGAUCCAUAGCUGGUCUGAGAGGAUGAUCAGCCACAUUGGGACUGAGACACGGCCCAAACUCCUACGGGAGGCAGCAGUGGGGAAUAUUGGACAAUGGGGGCAACCCUGAUCCAGCCAUGCCGCGUGAGUGAUGAAGGUCUUAGGAUUGUAAAGCUCUUUCACCGAUGAAGAUAAUGACGGUAGUCGGAGAAGAAGCCCCGGCAAACUUCGUGCCAGCAGCCGCGGUAAUACGAAGGGGGCUAGCGUUGUUCGGAAUUACUGGGCGUAAAGCGCACGUAGGCGGAUAAUUAAGUCAGGGGUGAAAUCCCGCAGCUCAACUGCGGAACUGCCUUUGAUACUGGUUAUCUUGAGUAUGGAAGAGGUAAGUGGAAUUGCGAGUGUAGAGGUGAAAUUCGUAGA
Molecule: ribosomal RNA, 557 nt
Filed under: uncultured bacterium
Lineage: Bacteria
Description: bacterial SSU rRNA
Rfam family: Bacterial small subunit ribosomal RNA
Source: RNAcentral